This is a long non-coding RNA of Anneissia japonica, 5637 nucleotides long. RefSeq lists it as uncharacterized. The record is from RefSeq and is a predicted model, not a curated record. The transcript has 5 exons. Lineage: Eukaryota; Metazoa; Echinodermata; Crinoidea; Comatulida; Comatulidae.
CUUACAAGUGGAUGUCAUAAUACUGACGUCCAUGGAUACAAAACAAAAUUUUUUGGCGCCAUUCAGUCAGUUUCUGCGCCAACACUGCAAAGAAUUGUUAGGCCUUUUUUGGAAUUGAUUAAACGUUAUUUGACUUUUGGCAUCUAUAUUUAAUCGUCCCAUAUCAUAUUUCAUUUCAUUGCAUUUCAUUUUCAUUUCAUUUUAGUCGAAUACAACAACUUGCAUUUACCUUAUUCUAUUAACAUGCACAUAAUCAGCACAUAAUUAUUUCGUAGGUUUUAUUUUAUUACUGUUAUUUUAUUUAAAAUAUUUAAUUAUACUGUCGUAAUGUUAGAUUUUAUAUUUAUUAUAUUAUUUUAUUAUAUUUAUUUAUUGUUAUCACGUUAUGAAUCACUUAAUUUUCGUAGACGCCACUAGUCAAAUUUCAAAUACAAAAACUAAUGAAAUUUUAUAUUUGGCAACUGGAGCUUUUCGACGUUUGCACCUUUAUCCUCCUUGACGGGCUGAUUUGAUGAACGCCAUCGCGUCUUCGAGCAUCCAAGCAUCAACCAUAGUAAGAACUAACAUGUAUUGAAACCAAGAAGAGACCUAUAUAGUACCUUUUUGGUUAAAAUGUGAUGUUGCAUCCAUUUCUACUAACACACAGGUGUAGACAUUAGGCUUUACUUUUUCAGGGCAACGAAGCUAAUAAUAAUUAUGGUGGAGAUCUUGUUGAUACUAUGCAAUGUUAAUACUUUAUAGGAAACUAGAUUGCAUAUUGGAAACAAGGUUUAAUUAUUAUCGUAUCAUACAGAAUUGCGACGAUAGGCCUAAUAUAUGUGAACCAUGGAUUCCAUGGCUAAACUUCAGUAGGCAUUCAAAUCUCCAUGCUAGGCCACUCACACUAGAUGCUGAUAAUCUGACAACAUUAGAUAAUAUAUCCAGCAAAAUUUUGACAACAUCAAUUUAUCAUAUUUAACAGCAUCGAUUAGACUAUUUGUGAAUGUAUGUAUUAUGAAAAAAUUGAACUAACACUUAGGCCGAUAUAAAACAGUUGUUGUUUAAUUAUGUUGAUUAUAUGCAAAUGUGACGGGGCCACAGGUAAGUUACUAAUGCAGCAAGACAUCGCCUCGAGCAUCCAAGCAUCAAACCAAGUAAGUCAACUAACCACUAUAGGAUUGUUUGUGUAGAAAAAACAAUCGUACUAUAUCGUAGACAAUGCCCAUCUUGUAAACCACUUUAUAUAAAAUCGUAGUAUUUUUAUUUAUUUUUUUAUUCUUGCCGAUAGUGGGUUAGGUCAGUAUUUGAUAAUGGUAGCAGGUGCUGCCUCAAUGCGUCUUCAAUUGUAUACCUAUGAAAUUGUUGCAAUAAAUCUUUACAAACAAAUGUGUCUUUGUCUCUUUUUGUCUUUCUAUUUUUUUAAUCACAUCAUGAUGGUAAGCCCCUAUACCAAACAUUGUAUCCCUAUGAAUUUGUUUCAAUAAAUUGGUACAUUACUAAUGAACAUGCGUUUAAGUGUUUUUGUCUGAGUCUGUUAUGAAUUGUAAUUUUGUAAAUGUAAAACAAUAGUAAAUGGCAUUCAUUUACUAUUGUUAAAUUUCAGUGUAUGUAAAUCUAAGAUGUAUAAUAACUAAUAGCAUGUCUUUCAUUUCAGAAAUAUUAAUUUUGUUGUCCACAGACAGUAGCAAGUCGACGAAUACCUUGUGUAUCACAGGUCUUUGUCGCCUAUGCACGUGUGCGGAAUAAAUAAAUAUAUACGUUCAAUACUUAUAUUAUAACUUCGAAGUUCAUUUCAUUUCAGAAAAAAAAAAUCUGGUGAUUUUGAUAAUGAUGCUUGAGGAAAUAUGCUAAUAUACUGAUUGGAUGGUGGUACUUCUGCCGAUGACUAAUUGUCGACGUGGAAUGAGGAAAAAAAUAUUAAUGAUGAUUGUGAUGAUGACGGUAGCAAUGAAUAUUUAAUAGUGACGAUAAAUACAGAUUUUAAAGUUGUAGUUAGUUCAUUUGAGUUUCUGUGAGUUGCGAGUUAAGAUGACUUUGUUAUUACAAUAUACUAUGACAAAUGAUGGCGAUGAAUGACAGUGAUGACGAUUAACGAUAAUGAAAUAAUGUAUUAAAACUUGCAAAGGUAAGUUGUGAGAUAAUAUUAGUUUGAAUGUCUGAAAGUUUCCAAGGCGACUUUGUGGGGUUGUGAAAUGACGUGAUGUGAAACUAGGGCUAUAAUCACAGGCCAUAUCUAUACAUUAUAUUGUGUUUUCAUUUUAGGAAAAGAAAAUAUAUAUAUAUAUAUAUAUAUAUAUAUAUAUAUAUAUAAUGCAUGUGAAUUUCCGAAUUAAUCAAAUCAAUUUGCUAUUUGGAGUAGUGCCUCUUCUGAUGAUGAUGGAGAACUGAUAGACAUAAGUGCUCAUGAAGAUAACGAGGAUGAUGUAAUGAUGGUGAUAUAGAUGAUACAGUGAUAACAAUGAUGAUGAUAAAAUGGUAGACCUGUGCUUGAAAAUUAGUAGUCGAUAUCGCAAGGCAUUAAAUGCUUGUGGACUGUCCUCCGACCUGACUGGAAUGUAUUGUGAUCGAUUUAAAAACAAGGAAAUAUGUGGACGUCGAUGGUUAAUAAUGAUGGUAUGGUAAUGGACGGCUAUGAUAUUAAUAACCAACGUUGAUGAUGCUAAGAAAGAAACCUGGUGAUUUUGAUAAUGAUGCUUGUGGAUAUGAUUGUCUGGUGGUUCUUCUGCCAAUGGAUAAUUUAUUGACUUCAAUUGAAAACAAAAUUAGCAGGAUGUUGAUGGUGAUGAUGAUUGUGAUGAUGAUGGUGUUAGCAAUAUCUACUAUGUAGACCCUUUUCAUAUCGACAUGAAAGGAAUAUUGAACGAAUACGAUGAUAUAAUUCAUGAUGAUAACGAGAAAGUUGUUGCUGAUAAAGAUGAUGUUAAACAAUAACGACGAUGAUAAUUUUACGAUAGGCCUACUUGAUUACUUUUGCUUAUCCUCCUAUCUUGAAUCCAAAUUUGUGAGUUGUGAUUUGAGUUAAGAAACUUUACUAUUAAUUACAACAUAAUAAAAUGACAGAUGAUGGUGAUGAUUAAAAGGACAGCGAUGACGAUUAACCGAUAACGAAAUGGUGUAACUGAACUUGCAAAUAUAAUUUGUCAGAUGAUGUUUGAAUGCGUGAAAGUUGAGCUUGUUUGAAUUGUGAAAUGACAAUAGGGCUAUUGGGCUAUGCACAGGCCUAUAAAUUUUACAACAUAUAAUUGUUUUCAUUUCAGAAAAGAAAUAAUAAUAGUAAUGAAUGCGAUUUUCAGACUAAAUUGUUCAACGCGUUUCUUUUGAUGGUGAAUAUCGAGGACGAUGAUAAUCAUAACGAAUAUGAUCUUAUAUUGAUGGCGACAUAAUGAUCUUGGUGACGAUGAAAUGGUAGACCAGCUUGCAAAGGUUUACGCAGUACAUAAUUUGUAAACACAGAAGUGGUUGAUAUGCAAGGCCUUGAAUUCUUGUGAACUGUCGCCGACUUCACCAUACUGAAACUGUAUGCGAUCGACUUAAAAGGAAUCUACUGGUGGACAUUGGUGGAUUAAAUGUCGAUUCUACUAAAGAAAUUCGGAGCUGUGAUCAAGCUAAUACCAACACUGACCCAGGAAGCAAAUUUUGUCAGCAGAAUAACAUCCGUUCAGAUGGAAUGAGCCAAUCUGAUCGAUUUAAUUUAGAGAUGCCGAGUAAUUUUGCAAAUGUUAAAGAACAUAGAACCUACAAUUAGAUAUUAUGGGGAAGACUAUUUGUCAUUGCAGUUGGUAAUAUUAAACAUAUGCUAUAUAAUUCAAUUUAAUAAUAAUAAUAUAAAAAUAAUAACAAUAAUAUAAAAAAAUAAUAUAAAAAAAAUAAUAUAAAAAAAUAAAAGCCUACAUUUUUAAAAUAAUAAUAAUUACAAAUACAGUAUUCAUCAAUACAGUUACUUUCUUCUUGUUGUUUUGUAUAUUUGUCAUCCUACAUGUAGUUGAUGUUUGUUUCGUACAUUACGGUUUUGUAUCACUUUCAUCAUUUCAUUUCGCCCUAACCUAGUCCACCCUCUCUCAUAUCUAUCUUAAUUCAGCCUAUUAGAUAGUUGUAGUUAGUCAGGUUAGCUUGAUAGAUAGGUCGUAGUUUAAGAUGUAGAGUUAGGUUAGCUAGGUUAAAAAAAGUAGAUUACCUGCCUAUAUGAGAGAGGAAUGGCCAAUACAUUAACCUCCUACAUUAACAUCAGUUCAAUGUGUCCUAUCAUUUCUUUACUGUAUUGUGUUAUAAAAAUACUAUUGAUCAAUAAAAGUUACAACUUAAAAAAUAAAGACACAGAAUUAUAAAUUUAAAAGUAUAACAAUUGCAAUGACAUGUGCUGAAAUAAUUUCUUGUGAUAAAUUAACUGUUAUCAUUUGCUAUAUAUUCAGUUAAUAAUAAUUGUGAUGUUGAUGCAAAUACAUUAUUAGUAAGGCCGAUAUUAUGCUUAAUUGUAUACCGUAUAUUUUUUUUGGCACUGGCAUUAUGAGCAUAUAUUAAACGAUGGAUUUUAAAACUUGAAUACUUCCGACAUAAUAAAAUGUUUUUAAAACAUUUAUGUUUGAAGAUCAAAAAUUAGCCAAGAAAUAACAAAGCGGCACGGCCACUGGGAUCCACAAGAAUAAUGCCUAUAAUAAUUAAUUUGCAUACUGUAAUAACAGAGGAACUGAUGCAUUUUGUAUUUCUAAAUAAUGUGUAUAAACAUCUGCAAAACCAAGAGCUUUUGUAAGGUCAGUUUUUAUAGAUUUUUCAUGUGCUGCUUUAAACACUAUUGUUCCACACAUAUUGCUAAAAAGACUACUUUGAGCUUGAUUUCGUUCCUCGAAUUUUGUUAUGUAUUUAAUUUCUUGACCACAGCGAGUUAAAUGAAAUAAUAUAUCGUCAACAAUUAGUAGCAUAAGUAUUGGUGUUCCGUAAGGAUGUGUUUUGUCUCCGUACCUGUUAAUUUUAUAUUCAAGUAAUUUUAAGAUCUUGGAUCCUCACUGCAAAAUUAUAAAAUACGCAGAUAAUACUGUAAUUAGUGGAUUUAUUGAUAACGAUGAAACUAUAUUAUUUUGAUGAAGUUAAAAUAUUUAAUGAAUGGUGCCAGCUUAAUCAUCUUAUAUUGAACGCUAACAACUAAAGAAAUGAUCUGGUUUUUGCAAAGCAAAUUGUGCUUAUGAUAUAUACCAGGUACUGUUGUUGAUAAUAAGCUUAUAAUGGGGGUAAACAAACCAAGAUUACUUACAAAAGGAAACUAAGCAAAGUUGUAUUUUCUAAGAAAACUUAAGAAGCUUAGUGUUGACAAUACCAUUCUUAUCUUGUUUUAUAAAGCAAUAAAACAGUGUUUUACCUUACUGUUUGUACAUAUAAAUGCCUAACAAACAAUGAAGAAAUCGGACUAGAUCCGAAAGACUGCAAAGAAAAUAUUAAUAAAGAUAUUGUACAUUUAGAUAAUAAUAUGACAAAUACACAUUAGCUAAACUCCAGGCGAUAAUGAAAGACACAAACUCAUCCACCCACUACAGUGAAUUUACAGUAUAUUUAACACUAUAGGCUUCCGUCUUAUGUACCACUCACCAGACGAUGUCGUUCCCAACUCCAUUCACCUUCAUAAUGAUAAUGUUAACAGAUAAUUCUGGUUUUAAGUGCAAUUUUGAC